Molecule: long non-coding RNA, 1366 nt
Filed under: Brassica napus (rape)
Lineage: Eukaryota; Viridiplantae; Streptophyta; Magnoliopsida; Brassicales; Brassicaceae
Description: long non-coding RNA (BNAP_LNC018240)
Source: RNAcentral
UUUUAAAAGUAAUGAGAUUAAUUUCAAGGUUUAGGGUAUUGUUAGCCACUAUUUUGCAACCACUUGACCUAAUGUAAUUGCAGUUUAGUAGCAUAAUUUGGCUAAUAAAAUUUAAUUAGAAAGUAGAAAGCACUUCUGAUUGGUCAAUUCUCAAAGGUAAGGAUUGGCUUUGUUCUUCCAACACCGUUGAGAUUAGUAAAUCUCACAGCCAAGACUUAAUCAGAUUUUCUUAUUUCCUUUCUCUUCCCUGCUAAGCAAGAUGCAUUGCGAUUUCCUCUUCUGUGGACGCACUGGAAUAUGAUCCGGGACUAAUUCCUGAGACAUCAGGUCAGAGAUCUUAGGAGUAGAUGCCGUGGGGAGAAGGAAUUCUACGACUGAUUGAGCCAACAAAUCCUAGCUAGAAUCUAAUCUGGAAAGAGCUCUCUCCUUGUUAGUUUUUCACAGACUGAACCUUUUUUCAUCUACUUGUUUGUUCUCUGCUCUCUCCUCGUCACUUUAUUUUCUUUUUCUUUUUUCCUCUUACAUCUCUCUUAGUCUUCUUUAUCUUCAUCUACUUAUGCUAUUUCUAACUGAUUUUUGUUUUGUUUACAGAUCUGAGGAGGACCAGUGAUGAAACGGGAAGGGACUUCAUCUACUUAUGCUAUUUCUAACUGAUUUUUGUUUUGUUUACAGAUCUGAGAAGGACCAGUGAUGAAACGGGAAGGGGAAGUGGUGGUGUAACGGAGCAUACGCGCCGGAGGUGGUGGUGGCGUGACGAAUCGGAGGAACCGCAGAUGCUGUAUCUAUCAGACCAACACCAGUGGCUUCCCGACCCGAUCGAGUAGUCGCUUUAGAUGGAACCACUCCGAGUCGCCGCUUCAUAUGGAACCACUCCGAUUCGUCGUGGUGCCGUUCAACCAGUGGUGGAAACCGUGCCGCCGUGGCUGAACCCAUAGAGAUGAUGAUGGUGUAUUUGUGUAUUUGUGUAUAUUUGUGUAUUUAUCUUUGUAAUUUUACUUUGAGAAAAUGACUAGGAUAGCACUAAAAAAGUUUGUGUCACAAAUAUAACCUCCUAAGAAUAAAAAUGACCAAAAUAGCACUUAAUGUUUUAUCAAAAGAGAUAAAUAUACAUUUAUACUCCAAUGGUAAAUUAAUUUAGACAUUAGGGUUUAUAGUUAAGGGGUGGAGUUUAGGAUUUAGGGUUUAGGGUUUAGAGUUUAGGGUUUAGGGUUUAUAGUUUAGGGGUGGGGUUUAGGGUUUAGGGUUUAGAGUCAAGGGGUGGGGUUUAGGAUUUAGGAUUUAGGGUUUCUACUUAAGGGGUGGAGUUUAGGAUUUAGGGUUUAUGAUUUAGGGUUUAGGGUUUAGAGUUUAGGGUUUAUGGUUUAGA